This 306-nucleotide ribosomal RNA is filed under the name Vibrio alginolyticus. Its description in RNAcentral is "partial 23S ribosomal RNA". It matches the Rfam family "Eukaryotic large subunit ribosomal RNA", at positions 831 to 1135 of the family's 3401-position model. Lineage: Bacteria; Pseudomonadati; Pseudomonadota; Gammaproteobacteria; Vibrionales; Vibrionaceae. The record is from RNAcentral.
CUAUGCCUGAGCGGGGUAAAGCCAGAGGAAACUCUGGUGGAAGCCCGCAGCGAUACUGACGUGCAAAUCGUUCGUCUGACUUGGGUAUAGGGGCGAAAGACUAUUCGAGCCAUCUAGUAGCUGGUUCCCUCCGAAGUUUCCCUCAGGAUAGCUGGAGCUCGGACGCGAGUUCUAUCGGGUAAAGCCAAUGAUUAGAGGCAUUGGGGGCGCAACGCCCUCGACCUAUUCUCAAACUUUAAAUAGGUAGGACGUGUCGGCUGCUUUGUUGAGCCGUCACACGGAAUCGAGAGCUCCAAGUGGGCCAUU